RNAcentral lists this ribosomal RNA (218 nucleotides) under uncultured bacterium. Its description in RNAcentral is "partial 16S ribosomal RNA". It matches the Rfam family "Bacterial small subunit ribosomal RNA", at positions 1281 to 1500 of the family's 1533-position model. The record is from RNAcentral.
AAACGCCUCAGUUCGGAUUGCAGCCUGCAACUCGGCUGCAUGAAGCCGGAAUCGCUAGUAAUCGCGGAUCAGAAUGCCGCGGUGAAUACGUUCCCGGGUCUUGUACACACCGCCCGUCACACCAUGGGAGUCGGGAAUGCCCGAAGUCGGUGAGCUAACGAAAGAGGCAGCCGCCGAAGGCAGGCCCGGUAACUGGGGUGAAGUCGUAACAAGGUAUC